GCGGGAAGAACUAGGAGGUUUAGUAUUAGAUUGUGAUUCUAAAGUCCGUGGGUUCGAACCCCACUUUUCGCC
Molecule: transfer RNA, 72 nt
Filed under: Campylaephora sungminbooi
Lineage: Eukaryota; Rhodophyta; Florideophyceae; Ceramiales; Ceramiaceae
Description: tRNA-His
Rfam family: tRNA
About the family: Transfer RNA (tRNA) molecules are approximately 80 nucleotides in length. Their secondary structure includes four short double-helical elements and three loops (D, anti-codon, and T loops).
Source: RNAcentral